This 468-nucleotide ribosomal RNA is filed under the name uncultured Planctomycetales bacterium. RNAcentral's name for it is "bacterial SSU rRNA". It matches the Rfam family "Bacterial small subunit ribosomal RNA", at positions 370 to 828 of the family's 1533-position model. The record is from RNAcentral. Lineage: Bacteria; Pseudomonadati; Planctomycetota; Planctomycetia; Planctomycetales.
AAUGCCCGAAAGGGUGACGAAGCGACGCCGCGUGAGUGAGGAAGGCCCUCGGGUUGUAAAGCUCUGUCAGGAGUUAAGAAAUGUAAGUGUGUUAAUACCACAUUUAUUUGACGAAGGCUCCAAAGGAAGCCACGGCUAACUCUGUGCCAGCAGCCGCGGCAAUACAGAGGUGGCAAGCGUUGUUCGGAAUUAUUGGGCGUAAAGAGCACGUAGGUGGGUUUGUAAGUCAGAUGUGAAAGCCUUCUGUUCAACGGAAGAAUUGCAUCUGAAACUACGAGUCUUGAGUAUAGGAGGGGAGAAUGGAACUUCUGGUGGAGCGGUGAAAUGCGUAGAUAUCAGAAGGAACGCCGGCGGCGAAAGCGAUUCUCUGGCCUAUUACUGACACUCAGUGUGCGAAAGCUAGGGGAGCAAACGGGAUUAGAUACCCCGGUAGUCCUAGCCGUAAACGAUGGGCACUAAGUAGAGGGG